GCCUUCGUGGCCUAAUGGAUAAGGCAUCGGUCUUCUAAACCCGGGAUUGCGGGUUCGAGCCACGCCGAGGGUA
Molecule: transfer RNA, 73 nt
Filed under: Caerostris darwini
Lineage: Eukaryota; Metazoa; Arthropoda; Arachnida; Araneae; Araneidae
Description: tRNA-Arg
Rfam family: tRNA
About the family: Transfer RNA (tRNA) molecules are approximately 80 nucleotides in length. Their secondary structure includes four short double-helical elements and three loops (D, anti-codon, and T loops).
Source: RNAcentral